UACGAAGGGUGCAAGCGUUACUCGGAAUUACUGGGCGUAAAGCGUGCGUAGGUGGUUCGUUAAGUCUGAUGUGAAAGCCCUGGGCUCAACCUGGGAAUGGCAUUGGAAACUGGCGAGCUAGAGUGCGGUAGAGGGUAGUGGAAUUCCCGGUGUAGCAGUGAAAUGCGUAGAGAUCGGGAGGAACAUCUGUGGCGAAGGCGACUGCCUGGACCAGCACUGACACUGAGGCACGAAAGCGUGGGGAGCAAACAGG
RNAcentral lists this ribosomal RNA (253 nucleotides) under uncultured bacterium. Its description in RNAcentral is "partial 16S ribosomal RNA". It matches the Rfam family "Bacterial small subunit ribosomal RNA", at positions 524 to 776 of the family's 1533-position model. The record is from RNAcentral.